Molecule: unclassified non-coding RNA, 354 nt
Filed under: Hevea brasiliensis (rubber tree)
Lineage: Eukaryota; Viridiplantae; Streptophyta; Magnoliopsida; Malpighiales; Euphorbiaceae
Source: RNAcentral
GUCAUGGGGAAAGAAAACCCUGCAACAUGCAGCAAAACGUUUAAACUGAAAUGAAACUAACUCUUGAAGUUAGCAAUAUGCUUGGCUUAGAAGCUUUACUUUGCACAGCAACCGCCAAGAUCACAAUCAUAUUCAUCUUAUUCAACAUUCCAAGACAGGAAACUCACUAAACAACCAAUAUAGGCAUUAUAGAAAAAAAUCCCACUCUGAGUACAUCUGUUGGGAUAAAGGCUUAGUUGAGUGAGUUGAGUACAUCUGUUGCCUAAGAAUUCUUUGCUUUGUACAUAAAUCAGCAAUAAAUGAAUCCACGGAACUCCACCAAAAUGCUUACCUACAGGUGUUGCGAUAAAUGGU